AUUGAACGCUGGCGGCAGGCCUGACACAUGCAAGUCGAACGGCAGCACAGAAGGGCUUGCUCUUUGGGUGGCGAGUGGCGGACGGGUGAGUAAUGUCUGGGAAACUGCCCGAUGGAGGGGGAUAACUACUGGAAACGGUAGCUAAUACCGCAUAACGUCGCAAGACCAAAGUGGGGGACCUUCGGGCCUCACACCAUCGGAUGUGCCCAGAUGGGAUUAGCUAGUAGGUGGGGUAAUGGCUCACCUAGGCGACGAUCCCUAGCUGGUCUGAGAGGAUGACCAGCCACACUGGAACUGAGACACGGUCCAGACUCCUACGGGAGGCAGCAGUGGGGAAUAUUGCACAAUGGGCGCAAGCCUGAUGCAGCCAUGCCGCGUGUAUGAAGAAGGCCUUCGGGUUGUAAAGUACUUUCAGCGGGGAGGAAGGCGGUGAGGUUAAUAACCUUGCCGAUUGACGUUACCCGCAGAAGAAGCACCGGCUAACUCCGUGCCAGCAGCCGCAGUAA
This 506-nucleotide ribosomal RNA is filed under the name uncultured bacterium. RNAcentral describes it as "partial 16S ribosomal RNA". It matches the Rfam family "Bacterial small subunit ribosomal RNA", at positions 30 to 523 of the family's 1533-position model. The record is from RNAcentral.